AUGUUCCCUUGCUGCUGCCCUUCAAGGCGAGGCUCUCGCAGAGCCAAAGCCCAGAAUGAAGGUCUCUUCCAGCGUGUAACACGCUGGCUGAGCUCUCACUAUGGACGCCUGUGGCCACGGGGGAGGAGGCAGCCACAGGGCUCCACGCUGGAGAUCAGCAAUGAUUCCCAUGAGGAACUCAUCUUCUCAGGCAACGGACAGUUUGGAGGUGUGUCCACACUGCACCUGGCUGAGGUCUGCCCCCUGCGGCACCGGGGCAAAGCUGCAGGAGUCCCUGGUCCUGGCCUCCCCAGGAAGAACCAUUGCUUACCUGUCCAAUCUGCUGUGCUCAUAUGACGACUUCAGUACUGUUCCGUAUUUAUUUCCUGGACCAGAUAUUCCAUAGGUGAGUGUCUGUGCCCUCCAGGCACACGGGGCCUCUGCCGCCCCCUAGCCGUGGCUCUCUGUGCCUGUGUGCUCCUCUGAGAAGUGGGGUGGUGUGGGCGUGAGCCUCAGGGGUUGACAGGGACCAUGUGACUGCAGACACAGCAGGGGCCUGGUGCCUGCUCUGUGGCCAGGGCUGCUGGUGCUGCACUCAUCCCUCUUCUUCUGGUCUCUGCACCCUCGGGACUCAAUAGCCCACAGCCCUCGAGGUUUGGAAAACCCCACAGAGAGCAGCCCUGCCUUCCCAUCUGUAAAGGAGGCCCCUCAGCCCCAGUCCCUGAUUCAGACAGAGCAGGGCCCGGGCACUGGGUGUGGGGCCCAGGCCCCUCAGCUCUCUGGCAAGGGUCCGUGUGUGGUUCAUCCCACAGCACGUGAAUGUUAAACACUGGGCAGUCACUUUGCAGACACGCGUCACAGCUCAGCGAGCAAAGCAGACAGCAUUCCCGGGGCCUCUUGACCUGGGAGGACCCAGACUCUCCCAGCUGAAGGCCUGCCUGGGUCCUGUGC
RNAcentral lists this long non-coding RNA (930 nucleotides) under Oryctolagus cuniculus (rabbit). RNAcentral's name for it is "lncRNA (ENSOCUG00000032696.1)". The record is from RNAcentral. Lineage: Eukaryota; Metazoa; Chordata; Mammalia; Lagomorpha; Leporidae.